This 76-nucleotide transfer RNA is filed under the name Bacillota bacterium. Its description in RNAcentral is "Firmicutes bacterium (compost metagenome) tRNA-Lys". It matches the Rfam family "tRNA". Rfam says of the family: Transfer RNA (tRNA) molecules are approximately 80 nucleotides in length. Their secondary structure includes four short double-helical elements and three loops (D, anti-codon, and T loops). Further hydrogen bonds mediate the characteristic L-shaped molecular structure. tRNAs have two regions of fundamental functional importance: the anti-codon, which is responsible for specific mRNA codon recognition, and the 3' end, to which the tRNAs corresponding amino acid is attached (by aminoacyl-tRNA synthetases). tRNAs cope with the degeneracy of the genetic code in two manners: having more than one tRNA (with a specific anti-codon) for a particular amino acid; and 'wobble' base-pairing, i.e. permitting non-standard base-pairing at the 3rd anti-codon position. The record is from RNAcentral. RNAcentral also lists the same sequence under 1 other name. Lineage: Bacteria; Bacillati; Bacillota.
GGGCCGUUAGCUCAAUUGGUAGAGCAGGGGACUCUUAAUCCCAAGGUUAUAGGUUCGAGUCCUAUACGGCCCACCA